UGAGUAAAUCGGAUGAUCGCGUGCUUUGAUAAGCAUGAGGAAAGUCCGUGCUCCAUAGGGCAGGAUGCUGGAUAACGUCCAGUGGGGGCGACCCUAAGGCAAGUGCAACAGAAAUAUACCGCCUAGCAUUUAAUGCUAGGUAAGGGUGGAAAGGUGAGGUAAGAGCUCACCAGCAGCUAGGCGACUAGCUGGCUCUGUAAACCCCAUCCGGAGCAAGACCAAGUUAGGGACAAAAAAGGCAGUGGCCCGCUGCUGUCCCGAUGGUAGGUCGCAUGAACUUAUUGGUAACAAUAAGUCAUAGAUAGAUGAUCAUCCAAGACAGAACACGGCUUACAGAUUUACUCAUCUA
Molecule: RNase P RNA, 349 nt
Filed under: Tissierellia bacterium
Lineage: Bacteria; Bacillati; Bacillota; Tissierellia
Description: RNase P RNA component class A
Rfam family: Bacterial RNase P class A
About the family: Ribonuclease P (RNase P) is a ubiquitous endoribonuclease, found in archaea, bacteria and eukarya as well as chloroplasts and mitochondria. Its best characterised activity is the generation of mature 5'-ends of tRNAs by cleaving the 5'-leader elements of precursor-tRNAs. Cellular RNase Ps are ribonucleoproteins.
Source: RNAcentral